ACUUGGUGUUACUGCGAAGGGGGGACGGAGAAGGCUAUGUUGGCCGGGCGACGGUUGUCCCGGUUUAAGCGUGUAGGCUGGUUUUCCAGGCAAAUCCGGAAAAUCAAGGCUGAGGCGUGAUGACGAGGCACUACGGUGCUGAAGCAACAAAUGCCCUGCUUCCAGGAAAAGCCUCUAAGCAUCAGGUAACAUCAAAUCGUACCCCAAACCGACACAGGUGGUCAGGUAGAGAAUACCAAGGCGCUUGAGAGAACUCGGGUGAAGGAACUAGGCAAAAUGGUGCCGUAACUUCGGGAGAAGGCACGCUGACACGUAGGUGAAGUGAUUUACUCAUGGAGCUGAAGUCAGUCGAAGAUACCAGCUGGCUGCAACUGUUUAUUAAAAACACAGCACUGUGCAAACACGAAAGUGGACGUAUACGGUGUGACGCCUGCCCGGUGCCGGAAGGUUAAUUGAUGGGGUCAGCGCAAGCGAAGCUCCUGAUCGAAGCCCCGGUAAACGGCGGCCGUAACUAUAACGGUCCUAAGGUAGCGAAAUUCCUUGUCGGGUAAGUUCCGACCUGCACGAAUGGCGUAAUGAUGGCCAGGCUGUCUCCACCCGAGACUCAGUGAAAUUGAACUCGCUGUGAAGAUGCAGUGUACCCGCGGCAAGACGGAAAGACCCCGUGAACCUUUACUAUAGCUUGACACUGAACAUUGAGCCUUGAUGUGUAGGAUAGGUGGGAGGCUUUGAAGUGUGGACGCCAGUCUGCAUGGAGCCGACCUUGAAAUACCACCCUUUAAUGUUUGAUGUUCUAACGUGGACCCGUUACCCGGGUUGCGGACAGUGUCUGGUGGGUAGUUUGACUGGGGCGGUCUCCUCCUAAAGAGUAACGGAGGAGCACGAAGGUUGGCUAAUCCUGGUCGGACAUCAGGAGGUUAGUGCAAUGGCAUAAGCCAGCUUGACUGCGAGCGUGACGGCGCGAGCAGGUGCGAAAGCAGGUCAUAGUGAUCCGGUGGUUCUGAAUGGAAGGGCCAUCGCUCAACGGAUAAAAGGUACUCCGGGGAUAACAGGCUGAUACCGCCCAAGAGUUCAUAUCGACGGCGGUGUUUGGCACCUCGAUGUCGGCUCAUCACAUCCUGGGGCUGAAGUAGGUCCCAAGGGUAUGGCUGUUCGCCAUUUAAAGUGGUACGCGAGCUGGGUUUAGAACGUCGUGAGACAGUUCGGUCCCUAUCUGCCGUGGGCGCUGGAGAACUGAGGGGGGCUGCUCCUAGUACGAGAGGACCGGAGUGGACGCAUCACUGGUGUUCGGGUUGUCAUGCCAAUGGCACUGCCCGGUAGCUAAAUGCGGAAGAGAUAAGUGCUGAAAGCAUCUAAGCACGAAACUUGCCCCGA
This 1374-nucleotide ribosomal RNA is filed under the name Salmonella enterica subsp. enterica serovar Enteritidis. Its description in RNAcentral is "partial 23S ribosomal RNA". It matches the Rfam family "Bacterial large subunit ribosomal RNA", at positions 1443 to 2802 of the family's 2925-position model. Lineage: Bacteria; Pseudomonadati; Pseudomonadota; Gammaproteobacteria; Enterobacterales; Enterobacteriaceae. The record is from RNAcentral.